Molecule: long non-coding RNA, 597 nt
Organism: Daucus carota subsp. sativus
Lineage: Eukaryota; Viridiplantae; Streptophyta; Magnoliopsida; Apiales; Apiaceae
Exons: 2
Source: RefSeq, a predicted model, not a curated record
UUCCAUAUAUAUGAGCGCGUGAUUGCCUUGCUGCCUUUGAUUUGUUAAGCAAUUCAUGGUUAAAGGUUAAGUAUUCUUCCAACUUUCCUGCUUGGGAUAUGUCUUUUAAUGAAUGGCAGAACAUUCUUCAUUUUGGCGAUGGCAUCUUGUGCUUGGCCAACUCCUGUGCUUCUUUUAGUCCCCCCCUGUCCACACUAAUAUUCGGUUUGUCAAAUUAAGACUUCAGCGGAUCUCUUCUCAACACCUGCUGCUCGUCACUUUCGUUUCUUCCCAAUGCUUUCGAUUUCAAGGCUACUUGAGAGCCAACAGCUUCUUCCUUCUUUAGGUGCAAAAGUUAUCCGGAUACCAAAUCUUUCUUACAUCAAGAUAACGGCUCUCCCUUUAGUCGAAGUUACUGAUGCAUUGGUCUUUGAUGAUUUCUGCUUGCUUGCUUCUAAGCUAUAUGUUUUCCGAAUGAUGAUCCGUGGUUUGUAAUAUUGUGACUUUUUUUUUUUGUCAGACUUAUUGUGACUAUUUUAUUGUGACAAUUUUAUGUAACCUGCAUCUUUAAACAAUUUAUGCACCUUGGUCACUACGAUUAGGAGUAAUUUUACAUCA